RNAcentral lists this transfer RNA (73 nucleotides) under Patescibacteria group bacterium. Its description in RNAcentral is "tRNA-Phe". It matches the Rfam family "tRNA". Rfam says of the family: Transfer RNA (tRNA) molecules are approximately 80 nucleotides in length. The record is from RNAcentral.
GCCGAGGUAGCCAAGUUGGUCACGGCGGGCGUCUGAAGAACGUCAGAUACAAGUUCGAUUCUUGUCCUCGGCA